CGUGCAGGUGGUCUUUUAAGUUUCGUGUGAAAGCCCUCGGCUUAACCGAGGAACGGCACGGAAAACUGGAGGACUUGAGUACGGGAGAAGAGGGCGGAAUUCCCAGUGUAGAGGUGAAAUUCGUAGAUAUUGGGAGGAACACCGGCGGCGAAAGCGGCUCUCUAGACCGAUACUGACACUCAUACGCGAGAGCGUGGGUAGCAAACA
This 207-nucleotide ribosomal RNA is filed under the name uncultured bacterium. Its description in RNAcentral is "partial 16S ribosomal RNA". It matches the Rfam family "Bacterial small subunit ribosomal RNA", at positions 568 to 774 of the family's 1533-position model. The record is from RNAcentral.